GGGCCCGCACAAGCGGUGGAGCAUGUGGUUUAAUUCGAUGAUACGCGAGGAACCUUACCAGGACUUAAAUGUAAGUUGCAUGAUUCAGAAAUGAAUCUUUCUUCGGACUACUUACAAGGUGCUGCAUGGUUGUCGUCAGCUCGUGCCGUGAGGUGUCAGGUUAAGUCCUAUAACGAGCGCAACCCCUAUCGUUAGUUACCAGCAAGUAAUGUUGGGUACUCUAGCGAGACUGCCGGUGCAAACCGCGAGGAAGGUGGGGAUGACGUCAAAUCAUCACGGCCCUUACGUCCUGGGCCACACACGUGCUACAAUGGCCGGUACAGAGAGCAGCCACUACGCGAGUAGGAGCGAAUCUUCAAAACCGGUCUCAGUUCGGAUCGCAGUCUGCAACUCGACUGCGUGAAGCUGGAAUCGCUAGUAAUCGGAUAU
This 429-nucleotide ribosomal RNA is filed under the name uncultured bacterium. Its description in RNAcentral is "bacterial SSU rRNA". It matches the Rfam family "Bacterial small subunit ribosomal RNA", at positions 917 to 1349 of the family's 1533-position model. The record is from RNAcentral.